This 253-nucleotide ribosomal RNA is filed under the name uncultured bacterium. Its description in RNAcentral is "partial 16S ribosomal RNA". It matches the Rfam family "Bacterial small subunit ribosomal RNA", at positions 524 to 776 of the family's 1533-position model. The record is from RNAcentral.
UACGUAGGGGGCUAGCGUUGUCCGGAAUUAUUGGGCGUAAAGCGCACGUAGGCGGCUAUCUAAGUCGGAUGUGAAAUCCCUCGGCUUAACCAAGGAAGUGCACCCGAAACUGGAUAGCUUGAGUACAGAAGAGGAUCGCGGAAUUCCCGGUGUAGAGGUGAAAUUCGUAGAUAUCGGGAGGAACACCAGUGGCGAAGGCGGCGACCUGGGCCAAUACUGACGCUGAGGUGCGAAAGCGUGGGGAGCAAACAGG